This 115-nucleotide ribosomal RNA is filed under the name Pelosinus fermentans JBW45. Lineage: Bacteria; Bacillati; Bacillota; Negativicutes; Selenomonadales; Sporomusaceae. The record is from RNAcentral.
CAGUGGCGAUAGCUGUGGGGUUCCACCUGUUCCCAUACCGAACACAGUAGUUAAGCCCACAUACGCCGAAAGUACUUGGAUGGAAACGUCCUGGGAGGAUAGGUAGUUGCUGGUU